GCCCUUGUGGCGUAAUGGCUAACGCGUCUGACUUCUACUUCGAAAUCAGAAGAUUCAGAGUUCGAGUCUCUGCUCGGGCU
Molecule: non-coding RNA, 80 nt
Organism: Fusarium tricinctum
Lineage: Eukaryota; Fungi; Ascomycota; Sordariomycetes; Hypocreales; Nectriaceae
Source: the annotation of a GenBank genome assembly